This 501-nucleotide ribosomal RNA is filed under the name Arthrobacter sp. RNAcentral's name for it is "bacterial SSU rRNA". It matches the Rfam family "Bacterial small subunit ribosomal RNA", at positions 60 to 577 of the family's 1533-position model. The record is from RNAcentral. Lineage: Bacteria; Bacillati; Actinomycetota; Actinomycetes; Micrococcales; Micrococcaceae.
AGUCGACGAUGAUCCCAGCUUGCUGGGGGAUUAGUGGCGAACGGGUGAGUAACACGUGAGUAACCUGCCCUUGACUCUGGGAUAAGCCUGGGAAACUGGGUCUAAUACCGGAUAUGACUGUCUGACGCAUGUCAGGUGGUGGAAAGCUUUUGUGGUUUUGGAUGGACUCGCGGCCUAUCAGCUUGUUGGUGGGGUAAUGGCCUACCAAGGCGACGACGGGUAGCCGGCCUGAGAGGGUGACCGGCCACACUGGGACUGAGACACGGCCCAGACUCCUACGGGAGGCAGCAGUGGGGAAUAUUGCACAAUGGGCGCAAGCCUGAUGCAGCGACGCCGCGUGAGGGAUGACGGCCUUCGGGUUGUAAACCUCUUUCAGUAGGGAAGAAGCGAAAGUGACGGUACCUGCAGAAGAAGCGCCGGCUAACUACGUGCCAGCAGCCGCGGUAAUACGUAGGGCGCAAGCGUUAUCCGGAAUUAUUGGGCGUAAAGAGCUCGUAGGCG